AGUGAACGCUGGCGGUAGGCCUAACACAUGCAAGUCGAACGGCAACAGGUCUUCGGAUGCUGACGAGUGGCGAACGGGUGAGUAAUACAUCGGAACGUGCCUAGUAGUGGGGGAUAACUACUCGAAAGAGUGGCUAAUACCGCAUGAGAUCUACGGAUGAAGGCAGGGGAUCGCAAGACCUUGUGCUACUAGAGCGGCCGAUGGCAGAUUAGGUAGUUGGUGGGAUAAAAGCUUACCAAGCCGACGAUCUGUAGCUGGUCUGAGAGGACGAUCAGCCACACUGGGACUGAGACACGGCCCAGACUCCUACGGGAGGCAGCAGUGGUGAAUUUUGGACAAUGGGCGAAAGCCUGAUCCAGCAAUGCCGCGUGCAGGAUGAAGGCCUUCGGGUUGUAAACUGCUUUUGUACGGAACGAAAAGCCCCGGGUUAAUACCCUGGGGUCAUGGCGGUACCGUAAGAAUAAGCACCGGCUAACUACGUGCCAGCCGCCGCGGUAA
RNAcentral lists this ribosomal RNA (498 nucleotides) under uncultured bacterium. Its description in RNAcentral is "partial 16S ribosomal RNA". It matches the Rfam family "Bacterial small subunit ribosomal RNA", at positions 29 to 523 of the family's 1533-position model. The record is from RNAcentral.